Molecule: ribosomal RNA, 1377 nt
Filed under: uncultured bacterium
Lineage: Bacteria
Description: bacterial SSU rRNA
Rfam family: Bacterial small subunit ribosomal RNA
Source: RNAcentral
GACGAACGCUGGCGGCGUGCCUAAUACAUGCAAGUGGAACGCAUUUUGAUCACCGUAGCUUGCUACACGGAUUAAAAUGAGUCGCGAACGGGUGAGUAACGCGUAGGUAACCUACCUUCUAGCGGGGGACAACUAUUGGAAACGAUAGCUAAUACCGCAUAAGACAUUUUAUCGCAUGAUAGGAUGUUAAAAGAUACAACUGUAUCACUAGGAGAUGGACCUGCGUUGUAUUAGCUAGUUGGUGAGGUAACGGCUCACCAAGGCUGCGAUACAUAGCCGACCUGAGAGGGUGAUCGGCCACACUGGGACUGAGACACGGCCCAGACUCCUACGGGAGGCAGCAGUAGGGAAUCUUCGGCAAUGGGGGCAACCCUGACCGAGCAACGCCGCGUGAGUGAAGAAGGUUUUCGGAUCGUAAAGCUCUGUUGUAAGUGAAGAACAGUGGUAGGAGUGGAAAAUCUGCCAUAUGACGGUAACUUACCAGAAAGGGACGGCUAACUACGUGCCAGCAGCCGCGGUAAUACGUAGGUCUCGAGCGUUGUCCGGAUUUAUUGGGCGUAAAGCGAGCGCAGGCGGUUAGAUAAGUCAGAAGUUAAAGGCUGUGGCUCAACCAUAGUACGCUUUUGAAACUGUUUAACUUGAGUACAGAAGGGGAGAGUGGAAUUCCAUGUGUAGCGGUGAAAUGCGUAGAUAUAUGGAGGAACACCGGUGGCGAAAGCGGCUCUCUGGUCUGUCACUGACGCUGAGGCUCGAAAGCGUGGGUAGCGAACAGGAUUAGAUACCCUGGUAGUCCACGCCGUAAACGAUGAGUGCUAGGUGUUAGGCCCUUUCCGGGGCUUAGUGCCGCAGCUAACGCAUUAAGCACUCCGCCUGGGGAGUACGACCGCAAGGUUGAAACUCAAAGGAAUUGACGGGGGCCCGCACAAGCGGUGGAGCAUGUGGUUUAAUUCGAAGCAACGCGAAGAACCUUACCAGGUCUUGACAUCCCUCUGACCGGUCUAGAGAUAGGCUUUCCCUUCGGGGCAGAGGUGACAGGUGGUGCAUGGUUGUCGUCAGCUCGUGUCGUGAGAUGUUGGGUUAAGUCCCGCAACGAGCGCAACCCUUAUUGUUAGUUGCCAUCAUUCAGUUGGGCACUCUAGCGAGACUGCCGGUAAUAAACCGGAGGAAGGUGGGGAUGACGUCAAAUCAUCAUGCCCCUUAUGACCUGGGCUACACACGUGCUACAAUGGUUGGUACAACGAGUCGCAAGUCGGUGACGGCAAGCUAAUCUCUUAAAACCAAUCUCAGUUCGGAUUGUAGGCUGCAACUCGCCUACAUGAAGUCGGAAUCGCUAGUAAUCGCGGAUCAGCACGCCGCGGUGAAUACGUUCCCGGGCCU